AAAAAAUUGAGCUAUAAUAGCAUUUUUGGUGGAAACACCGCAACAAAUCCAGGAACUACCGGCGUUUUUUUAAAAAAGCUGUAAAAGGCCAUUAUUUUUUAUAAAAAAAUGCAAAAUCCCGCUCACUUCCACAAAUUAUUUUUUCGUUACCCGCUCGUUAACCAAAUCCCCAAAUAAAUGGUUUUGAAGAAACAAAUGGAAGUUGAAGAGAAGGAGAACGAGGAAGAAGAAGAAGAAGAGGAAGAGAAAAGGGGGGAGGAGGAAGAAUAAGAGAGUGAAGAUGAAGGGACUAAAAAGGUCAAAGGUAGUAGUAGAAAGGGGAGUUCUAGGAAAUCUGGUCGAGAUUCGGCUGAGAAGAAAGAGACAGUGACGCCUAGUAGUGAUAGGCCUACAAGGGAAAGGAAAGUUGUAGAAAGGACGGGCAUAGCUCUGAAGAUUCAAAGCAAAGCACUCCUGAUAUGACUGUUUUUGUGCAAAGUCUUCUUCAACAAAUGCUUAUUAAGAGAGUAAGAUGGCAUCCACUUUCACAGCCAUGUCAUAAGUUGGCUCAUUCGUUGCACCUAAUGGUCUGGUCAUGGAUAAGAAGCUUUCAUCUCCUUCCAACAGAUUGUCAUCUUUAGCAUCCAUUUCUUCUUUUUCAUUUCUUAGUAGACGAAAUGUUGUUCUUAGAAGAUCUCGUCUGCCCAAGAUUUCUGCAGCAAAAGAGCUACAUUUCAAUAAGGAUGGGUCAGCCAUAAAGAAAUUACAAGUGUGUCUUUGUUUCAAAUGCUAAAAAGGUGCAUAGAUGUUGGAUACUACAAGAUCCUGCCUAUGGCUAUGGCUACUUGUUUUGGGACUAUUGUUGUUCAUAACAAAGGGGGCUUAUAUGAUUGACAUGAAUUAUUUUUGGAAACUGAAAUAAUGAAUAGAUUGAGCAUAUUCAUUAUUGAUAAUGAUGUUGCACUGCUGAUAUGGUGGCUACUUCAGCAAUAAAUUGACUCUUUUCUUGGUGAGAUGCUACUGAAAGUUGCUUGACAGCCACCACCCUCCCUUUGAUAAUGUACCCUACAAGAUUUCCAUCUGGGCUUUUAUCUUCCCCUGUUUUUAUUUUGUGGGUUUUGCAGACAAGCCAUGGAUUUGAAAAUUUCAGCUAUUUGCAUGACUUGGUAAUCUGAAGCUUUAUUGGGUUUCUUUAUGGCGAUUUUAGUUCUUUUGGUUGGUGGGUUCAAUUCAGAUUUGGUGGUUAAAUAUAUUUUGUUCUUAAAUUUUAGUUGAUAUAUUACUUGUAUCUUAUAUUUCAAAGAUUGUAAGUCAAAAUUCCAAUUUUUUUUGUGGUCAUUUUUAAAGAAUUGGCUUCUCAUAUUGAGGAUCUGAUUGAUAGACUUGUGCUCUUGUGUUUUAAUUACUCUUAAUGAUUACUUACAAUGCAUUAUUGUAGGAAUAAAUGUAAUAUUGAACCAGCUAAACUCCUCUGAUUCAAUUUUCAGAGUAGUGAUGCAGUGCUCUCUCAGGUCUAGACCUGUUUGAGCACUGUGAUUGAGGAGCAUUACAAAUCGUUGUAUGCCUAAUGUUUGUUUCAUUUAUUUCUUACUUGUCUACUUGAAACUUUUUUUCUUCGCAUCAAUUCUUAGCUUCAGUUUUUUUCUAUAUUUUUUGUUUUCUGUUUGAACUUUGAAAGAUUUUGAUGUAGUUUAUCGAAGAGUUCGAUUUAUUGACUUUUCUUGAUCUGUUUAUUCUUUCUGCUGAACCGAUGUGUUGGAAAUUUUGGGUACUUAAGAGAUUUAGGCAUUUAGCAGACAUUUUACUUAUCUAACUUGUGUGGUAAUUAGGUGACAAGAUUGAAAAAUUAGUUAGGUAGUUAUUGGGUUUCGGCAUUAUGAAAUAUUACUAGGUUCAAGUAUCAGUACCCAAAAUUGUGGUUAUCCUGCCCUUGCCAGUUCUUGGUUCAUCUGUAAGAGGCUGCUUGUGGUAGUAGUAGAGUCAUAUAUCUUUCUGUUUAUAUUUGAAUAUAGCCAUGAGUCAACUGAGUGCCAUAUCUAAUAGAUGUGCUUUGGGAGCCUUAGUUUGCUUCAGUGUUGGCAUUUUCUUGAAUUAUAUCAAAUUAAUUGAAUGAGCUCUUUGUGAUGUUUCUCUCUAAAAUUUUUAUGACAUAACAAGUUUAUUCUAAAGAAUCUUGGGUGGCAAAUGGAAUAGGAAAAACCAACUACACUAGAUUGCGGUCUAAGAACAAUUUGCAGAAGGCACAUAAUAACUGACUCCUACCUCUACGAAUGUACGAAUGCUUGUGGGAGGCAUUGUAGCAGCGAAUAAGAAUAGGAUUGAUCAACAUGCAGUUGACACCGUAUAUGGUCUGAAUCUGAAUUCAGGUGUGAGUUUCAGAUAUUUUAUGUGCAAAAAAGUAUUAGGGUGCAAAACUAUACCCAGUUUUGUAAACGUCUACUUACAUAUUUGCAUAUACUUAAUAAUAAUCUCGUGUCAACUAA
Long non-coding RNA from Gossypium arboreum, 2462 nucleotides. RefSeq lists it as uncharacterized. The transcript is spliced from 9 exons. The record is from RefSeq and is a predicted model, not a curated record. Lineage: Eukaryota; Viridiplantae; Streptophyta; Magnoliopsida; Malvales; Malvaceae.